CAUGCAAACAAGCCAGCACUUUGCACACAUGCUACAACAAUCGAAGGUUCCACUGCAACAACAGUCACAACAAAAUGCAUCAAAUGUGUUACCAUCCCAAACAUAGCAGCCACAAUCACAGGCUCCACAGCAACAAAUGAUGGCUCAGGUUCAAUCUCAGCCUGCACAGUUACAACAACAAUUGGGCUUGCAGCAGUAGACAAAUCCGUUGCAACGAGAUAUGCAAAGACUUCAGGCAUCAAGCUCCUUACUUCAACAACAAAGUGUUCUUGAUCAACAAAAGCAAUUAUAUCAAUCGCAGAGACCCAUUCCAGAAACUU
Molecule: long non-coding RNA, 320 nt
Filed under: Arachis ipaensis
Lineage: Eukaryota; Viridiplantae; Streptophyta; Magnoliopsida; Fabales; Fabaceae
Description: long non-coding RNA (AIPA_LNC001461)
Source: RNAcentral